AGCUGACCCAGCUAAGCCAAUCGGAGUCCAGCUGACCCAGCUAAGCCAAUCGGAGUCCUCCAGUUGCGGCACUAAAUUUGGAAAGGAGCUGUUGGGGACCUCACAGGGCUUUUCGAGGAUCGCGCUCUGGUCUGGAGGUCACAGCUGCCGCGCCUGAGGGGGUGAAAAAGUCGGAAGAUUCAUCCCACUCUCCCGCUCAGUGUGGCGUUGUUCGCUCGAGGCUUCGGUUCCGCCAUGUUCGCUCUCAGAAUCCGCAUCGCUCGCUCAUUGCAUUAAUUCCUGAGAUCAGGAAGUAAGCUCUCAGAUACUGCUCCAACACUAUGUCUGCCUGCCUGUCACCAUACUCCUCACCUUGAUGGUCGUGGACUAAGCCUCUGAAACUGU
Peromyscus maniculatus bairdii (prairie deer mouse) is the source of this 384-nucleotide non-coding RNA. The record is from RefSeq and is a predicted model, not a curated record. NCBI's taxonomy places the organism in Eukaryota, Metazoa, Chordata, Mammalia, Rodentia, Cricetidae.